GGUGAACUGCGGAAGGACAUUA
RNAcentral lists this ribosomal RNA (22 nucleotides) under Phaeomoniella chlamydospora. RNAcentral describes it as "partial 18S ribosomal RNA". The record is from RNAcentral. Lineage: Eukaryota; Fungi; Ascomycota; Eurotiomycetes; Phaeomoniellales; Phaeomoniellaceae.